This 451-nucleotide ribosomal RNA is filed under the name uncultured bacterium. RNAcentral describes it as "partial 16S ribosomal RNA". It matches the Rfam family "Bacterial small subunit ribosomal RNA", at positions 28 to 507 of the family's 1533-position model. The record is from RNAcentral.
GAUGAACGCUGGCGGCGUGCCUAACACAUGCAAGUCGAGCGGCAGCGAGGGGUGCUUGCACCCUGUCGGCGAGCGGCGGACGGCUGAGUAACGCGUGGGAACGUGCCCCAAAGUGAGGAAUAACUGCCCGAAAGGGUAGCUAAUACCGCAUAUUAUCUUCGGAUCAAAGGAUUUAUCCGCUUUGGGAGCGGCUCGCGUCGGAUUAGGUAGUUGGUGAGGUAAUGGCUCACCAAGCCGACGAUCCGUAGCUGGUCUGAGAGGAUGACCAGCCAGACUGGAACUGAGACACGGUCCAGACUCCUACGGGAGGCAGCAGUGAGGAAUCUUCCACAAUGGGCGAAAGCCUGAUGGAGCAACGCCGCGUGCAGGACGAAGGCCUUCGGGUUGCAAACUGCUUUUAUAAGUGAGGAAUAUGACGGUAACUUAUGAAUAAGGAUCGGCUAACUACGUG